AAAAUGUAUAUUAAGACUUCUAAUCUUUACUAAGUACUCAGCACUGCAUUUUA
RNAcentral lists this transfer RNA (53 nucleotides) under Pseudoniphargus sp. 1-Basque. RNAcentral's name for it is "tRNA-Ser". Lineage: Eukaryota; Metazoa; Arthropoda; Malacostraca; Amphipoda; Allocrangonyctidae. The record is from RNAcentral.